GACAAAAAUCCUAAAGGGAGGGAGAAGUUUCUGGCAGUGCAGAAAGCUUAUGAGUGCUUGCAGGUGACCAUGCAAGGAUUGCAAGGUCCCCAGACUUGGAGGUUGUUGCUUCUCUUAAAGGGCCAGUGUAUUCUAUAUAGGUGAUAUGGAUUGUAUUGAUGCCAUUCAAAUAUGCUGGAUAUCCUAUGCUCUUAAGUGCCAUUACAGUGGACAAGGAUGAUAACAAUUUUCUUUCCUCUGAUCGAGCACAUCUUCUAGUUGCAUCCUCGGAGCUUGUUUGGUUGAUGUGCGAGUCUUCACCAUUCAAUGGUGAAGAGCUUGUGAGAGAUGGUGGAAUACCUCUUCUUGCAACACUCCUUUCCCGUUGCAUGUGUGUGGUCCAACCAACAACUCCUGCCACUGAACCGUCCGCUACAAUUGUUGCUAGCAUAAUGUGAACCUUUUCAGUUUUGAGUCAGUUUGAAAGUGCGAGAACUGAGAUGCUCGAAUUUUCAGGAUUAGUUGAUGACAUUGUUCAUUGCACUGAACUUGAGCUUGUUCCUGCUGCUAUUGAUGCUGCCCUGCAGACCAUUGCUCACCUUUCUAUCUCCUCUGAAAUUCAAAAUGCCCUUCUGAAGGCUGGUGUACUGUGGUAAGAUAGAUCAUUAUAUUGUUAUGAUUAUGCUUUCAUCAGUUUUCUAGCA
Sesamum indicum (sesame) is the source of this 683-nucleotide non-coding RNA. Lineage: Eukaryota; Viridiplantae; Streptophyta; Magnoliopsida; Lamiales; Pedaliaceae. The record is from RefSeq and is a predicted model, not a curated record.